This 359-nucleotide long non-coding RNA is filed under the name Junco hyemalis (dark-eyed junco). Its description in RNAcentral is "lncRNA (ENSJHYG00000012834.1)". Lineage: Eukaryota; Metazoa; Chordata; Aves; Passeriformes; Passerellidae. The record is from RNAcentral.
CUUGGGGCUCUCUUUUCCCUUUAAAGGAAUGAGAUUGCUGGUUUUAAUCUGCUUCCACGGCCUGAAACAACUCCUGUGUUCAGGAGUUGUUCUCUCCUGUCAGGGAGACAACUGCAGUUUGGGAAUCAGUUCUCUGGGACCUGCAACCUGCCUGGCAAGGAAACCUCAUCAGGCUUACUGGAAGCAGCUUCUUCCCUGUGAGCAGGAGAGCAGCUGCUCUCUGCCUGUCUCUGCCUCUCAACAGAGAAGCAAAAGGAUUGCCUCUUUCCUGCAUUUUGAAGAACCUUCCUCCUCAUCCCACCUGAAGAGAGAUACAUGCCAAAAUCUUAAACUCCAGAAUGUCCCAGGUUGGAAGAGAC